Molecule: ribosomal RNA, 444 nt
Filed under: uncultured bacterium
Lineage: Bacteria
Description: SSU rRNA
Rfam family: Bacterial small subunit ribosomal RNA
Source: RNAcentral
AGAACGAACGCUGGCGGCAGGCUUAACACAUGCAAGUCGAACGCCCCGCAAGGGGAGUGGCAGACGGGUGAGUAACGCGUGGGAAUCUACCCAAUUCUUCGGAACAACUGAGGGAAACUUCAGCUAAUACCGGAUACGCCCUACGGGGGAAAGAUUUAUCGGAAUUGGAUGAGCCCGCGUUGGAUUAGCUAGUUGGUGAGGUAAUGGCUCACCAAGGCGACGAUCCAUAGCUGGUCUGAGAGGAUGAUCAGCCACACUGGGACUGAGACACGGCCCAGACUCCUAUGGGAGGCAGCAGUGGGGAAUAUUGGACAAUGGGCGCAAGCCUGAUCCAGCCAUGCCGCGUGAGUGAUGAAGGCCUUAGGGUUGUAAAGCUCUUUCAGUAGGGAAGAUAAUGACGGUACCUACAGAAGAAGCCCCGGCUAACUUCGUGCCAGCAGCCGC